This is a long non-coding RNA of Paralichthys olivaceus (Japanese flounder), 323 nucleotides long. RefSeq lists it as uncharacterized. NCBI's taxonomy places the organism in Eukaryota, Metazoa, Chordata, Actinopteri, Pleuronectiformes, Paralichthyidae. The record is from RefSeq and is a predicted model, not a curated record.
CUGCUGAUGUCACCAAAGGUAGAACUACAGGACGUGUUGGGCCACUUCCUCCUUAGGUCCCUGCAGCACAUGGUGGGAAAGGAACCCCACUGGCUCCACUCACCCAGUUUGCACGCGGAGGCACGCUGACCUGGGGGAAGAACAUGGGACAAAGACUAAUGCCGAGGGCCAAAGAACCAAAUUCAACCCGGCCUCUCAGAUGAAGAGAUAAGUGCACUUUAACUAUAACGACAGUGAGCUGGCCUGGAGGGCAGCUGACGUAACAUCGGCCGCUGUGCGAAUACAAGCCCUCCUUGCAUUUUGUGCAAAAAUUGCGAUUGAAA